AGUGGCGGACGGGUGAGUAACGCGUGGGUAACCUGCCUCAUACAGGGGGAGUAACAGUUAGAAAUAGACUGCUAACACCGCAUAAUAUAGUGAAACCGCAUGAUUUUGCUAUCAAAUAUUUAUAGGUAUGAGAUGGGCCCGCGUCUGAUUAGCUAGUUGGUGGGGUAAAAGCCUACCAAGGCGACGAUCAGUAGCCGGCUUGAGAGAGUGACCGGCCACAUUGGGACUGAGACACGGCCCAAACUCCUACGGGAGGCAGCAGUGGGGAAUAUUGGACAAUGGGGGAAACCCUGAUCCAGCGACGCCCGCGUGAGUGAAGAAGUAUUUCGGUAUGUAAAGCUCUAUCAGCAGGGAAGAUAAUGACAGUACCUGACUAAGAAGCCCCGGCUAACUACGUGCCAGCAGCUGC
Molecule: ribosomal RNA, 409 nt
Filed under: uncultured bacterium
Lineage: Bacteria
Description: bacterial SSU rRNA
Rfam family: Bacterial small subunit ribosomal RNA
Source: RNAcentral